This 496-nucleotide ribosomal RNA is filed under the name uncultured bacterium. RNAcentral's name for it is "partial 16S ribosomal RNA". It matches the Rfam family "Bacterial small subunit ribosomal RNA", at positions 28 to 506 of the family's 1533-position model. The record is from RNAcentral.
GAUGAACGCUGGCGGCGUGCCUAAUACAUGCAAGUCGAGCGAACAGACGAGGAGCUUGCUCCUCUGACGUUAGCGGCGGACGGGUGAGUAACACGUGGAUAACCUACCUAUAAGACUGGGAUAACUUCGGGAAACCGGAGCUAAUACCGGAUAAUAUAUUGAACCGCAUGGUUCAAUAGUGAAAGACGGUUUUGCUGUCACUUAUAGAUGGAUCCGCGCCGCAUUAGCUAGUUGGUAAGGUAACGGCUUACCAAGGCAACGAUGCGUAGCCGACCUGAGAGGGUGAUCGGCCACACUGGAACUGAGACACGGUCCAGACUCCGACGGGAGGCAGCAGUAGGGAAUCUUCCGCAAUGGGCGAAAGCCUGACGGAGCAACGCCGCGUGAGUGAUGAAGGCCUUCGGAUCGUAAAACUCUGUUAUUAGGGAAGAACAAAUGUGUAAGUAACUAUGCACGUCUUGACGGUACCGAAGCAGAAAGCCACGGCUAACUACGU